Molecule: long non-coding RNA, 2320 nt
Organism: Chroicocephalus ridibundus (black-headed gull)
Lineage: Eukaryota; Metazoa; Chordata; Aves; Charadriiformes; Laridae
Exons: 4
Source: RefSeq, a predicted model, not a curated record
UUUUUUUGAGGAGAGAGAGGUAUGUGAUCUCCACUUCUUUAAAAAUUGCAGGGAGGACCUCUCUGGGUAGAAAGUGAUCUUCUUCUGCGGGGGGAUCCUCAGCUGGUGGAGGACCUCUUACACCAUCUGAGAAGAGGUACGUGGCUCAGCAGGGGAGAUGUGGGCUGGAUGGCUGCAAUCACCCGGGCUGCUGUGGCUGCUGCGUUUCCUGCUGGAUCAUCCAUCUCACUGCUACGUGGUGCUUUCCUGGUUUGCUGGUGGGUCUUACUCGGGCCACAGUUUCAAAAGGUCUUAAAAAACAUAGCAACAAUACAUUCCAACACUUCCCUCUGAUUAUGGGAAAGCACCCUUCCCUCCAAGCCUAGGUAUCCAGGUUUCUCUUGUUUGAAAUUGACUCUUCUCCAGGAUUAUGUGACCAUUUUACAGUGAGCAGUUUUUCUUUUCUUGUUUGUUCAAUUUGUGGAAUUGCCUGAAGGGAGAUCACAGUUUCCUCACAAUUACUUUGUGUGUUGUUUGUUCUCUGAGCUGACUGGGAAUGUCCAAAAUUUGUCCUGCGGUGCUGAGCUGUGACCAAUCAUGGAAGUCACAUGGAAGAAGUGACGGGUUGAUCCUGGAAGGCAAAAUGACUGGGAGUUGAAGGUAUGUUAGAUAUUUUUUUUCCUUCAUGACAUGACUUCCCACAGUUAUACGGUGACUGGUUAGGUGGCAUUAAUCUGGUUGCUUAGUCUUUAUCUUCACCCCAUGACCUAAGCUUGCUGAUGUACACAGCCUCCCACCCAUCUCAGAAGACAAGUGAUAUCUACCUUAAAUGCUUAAAAGAGUUUAACAUCUGAGUCUAUAUUUAUUUUCAACAUGUUAAAAAACAAUUUUAAAAAAUUAACCUAUGAUUAUAUAAUUGUCCUUAUCUCCUUGUUAACAUUAAUUAUCAAUAACUUCUGUCAUAUAAGUGACUGAAUUUCCAAAGGAUUCAUUUCACAUGUACCCUGGAACCCCUCUAUUAGGAUUGUCCUUCCUGUGCACAGAGGUGCCCACACCACUUCUGCCCUCCUCUUGCUUUGAAGUUUUUCUAUCCAGCAAGGAGAUCUAUCCACCUCUUGGUGCAAUGGACUAUGUUCGCACCACAUCUUUGAAUCCAAGUGUCUCAAUUCUAUGGCUGCCCGAUACCCUAUGAGAGUCUCUAGUGCAGAUGAGCUCCUGGGAAUAAUAUUUUGCUAUCAGAAGGGCAUAGUGUACCUAGGGAGACAGAUUUGACUCAUUGCACUGGAAGACAGACAAUUGCACCCCUAAAUGGCCUGUGAAGGCCUUGAAGAGGCAUCUUGCUAAGUUGUAAAGGGCUAUUGAUAUUCUGUCAGCUUCAAAAUAAAAAUACCAGACUUGUAUGCUUUUUCCAUGUCCUUGGAACUUCAAGGAGUAAACGCAUUCAUUUCCUUUCAUUUUGCAUCCAUCUGAUUGCUUUUAAACGUAGUUCAGAUCAAAUCUUUCCAACACUGAUACCUGUGGCAAAACUCCCUUCUGACUUUCAUAAGACAGGGAUUUGGCCCAUAAGAAUUAGUGUCUAGGGAGGAUGCAUUGAAAUAAAUGGUGAUUGUCAAAGCACAUUGGAAUUUAGAGCACAUUUGUUGCAAAGAUAGAAGCUCACUGGGGUAUCUGAUUGUCAGAGUCAAUUUUAUUUUCCUUACUGCACAUAUGCACAUAUUUGAACCUUGUCAUGCUGCAAAGGGAAAUACCUCAUUAGAUUUCACUAGGGUUUCUUCAGAAUUGUUUAUACACUACAGUCAAUAAAGAUUUUUUUUGUUUAAUAAAUGAAAUACUGGAGUCGCCUGUUCUAUCAGGAAAUCGAAGGAAGUGCAUUUAUCCCUGGUAAAGACGAAGCUCUACUUUAUAGGGUGCAGAAAGCCUGCAAUGUGUAUUAUUUUUCAAAUAGUUGAAAGAUUUAUAGUGGUAAAUAGAUUCUUUUUCAGUCUCUUGGUCGUGUUGUCUGCAACAAAGCAAAUGUUACAAAUAAAAAUAAGAGUAAACCCAGAGCAUUUCUACGUUCUGUAUUUUCAAUUAUGAUUUUAACAGAAAUGAAUCACUUGUCCUUUUUUCUUUGGAAACAGUUUUACUUCCCUUUUCCCCACUGGACAUAUAAUUUUGAUUUAUAAACACAGCAAUCUGGAGCAAAGGGAAGUUUUAAGCACAGUACCUGCUGCUGCUGAGGCCUAGUUUUAUUUUGCUUACAAUUUUUAUUUUUAUUUUCUUUACAUUUUCAUAUCAAUUAUAACUUUCUACUUUAGAGAUUAAAAACAUGGUUGCAGAUGACAUAUUUUGCCCAUUCCGA